Molecule: transfer RNA, 79 nt
Filed under: Marmota monax (woodchuck)
Lineage: Eukaryota; Metazoa; Chordata; Mammalia; Rodentia; Sciuridae
Description: tRNA.Gly
Source: RNAcentral
UUUUAUGUAGCUCAGUGGUAGAGCACUCUCCUACCAUGUGUGAGGCACCAAGUUCAAUUUCAAGUACUAGGGGAAAAAA